UUUUCCGGCUCCCUCACCCUAACUUCUUCUCCUUCUCCUUCGGCUGAAACCCUAACACACUCACCCCAUUUCUUCUAUUUCGACUGAAACCCUAUCAAACUAAAUUUCAUCACUUUGUUCUUGUGCUCCUCUCGGUCUCCAUCUCUAACCUAAAUUAAGAAAGAUGAGGCAAUAACCCCAUAUGCUUCACCUUACCAGAACGCUGCUCUCUUCUCCAUCUUCUUCAUCUCCCUCCUCCUAAUCAGAGAAACGAAACCAUAAUCCAUAUACCCAUAAAUCAAUACUCUAAUUUCAUUGGAAAUAGAUACCGAACCAAGUAGAUCUGAUGUUCUCUUAAGAUUUGGAUUGAAAUUAGAGUUUUGAUUUGGGGAUUUUGUUAGGGUUUCUUUUGAUUUCAUAGAAAAUGCUUUACUUUUGGUUUGAUUUCAACAAACUUUAUCAGCAAUCAGUAGAAGAACAUUCAACAUCUUCACUUGAAUUUGUUGAAGAUUCUCAGGUAAUGGAGAUGGUUGUGCUUUUGAUUGUCAUUUAUAGGUCAGUGGCAUGUCAUUGGUGAAUUUUGUUGGUGUUGCUGCUAGGCAUGCAACAUAUGUUUCACACACAGCUGGUAGGUACUCAGCAAAAAGGUUUAGGAAUGCCCAAUGUCCAAUUGUAGAGAGGCUUACCAAUUCCCUGAUGAUGCAUGGGCGGAACAAUGGGAAGAAGAUCAUGGCAGUUCGCAUAUUUAAGCAUGGUAUGGAUAUCAUCCAUCUCCUCACAGACCAAAACCCCAUCCAAUUUAUUGUUGAUGUUGUCAUCAACAGGUGGUCCCCAGUUUAAGCUGUUGUAUCAUGAUACGGGUAAAUGGAAUGAGGACUGGAAUGAGUUUAAUGACGGAAAAAAAUCAAAAGAACAUCCAAAGAUUCAUCAAGCAAUCUCACUCUGAGUCUCGCCCAAAAAUUCUUGAAGUCCAUCUUCCAGAGGACCCAUUCUUGCAGAUUGCUGCUGGUUUGAGAAUUGAAAUUAACAGGGAUUUAACUUUCUUGCGCGAGAUUGCUUCAGGACAUGAUUUGAAGGAGUUUCUUGAUGUAAGUUCAUUGGCUGGUUUUACUUGUUCAUUAACUUGUUAUCAAGGAUUCUACCACUAUAACAUAUAGCUGGAGCUACCUGGAAUUUUUGCGGUCCCAGGCAGGAUUAUAAUGUUGUUAGUACAUGGAAAACAUGCUAGAUUGGCAUGGAUCUUGUUCCAAGUUAUUCUACCAAACACACGAGUUUUGAUUGAGUUAGAAUUUUUUGUUGAUGAAAACUCGCAAUUGAAGGCCAUUGAUUUUGGCUUGUCCGAUUUUGUGAAACCAGGUGAUUUUUUACUCUCUUGGGUGCUGACCGUGUUAUUCAGAAGUAAAAUUAGUCUUCUUUAGCUUUGGCUGUUAAAAAUAGGUUUCUAACUUCUAAUUAAUCUGACACGAUGCAGAUGAAAGGCUUAAUGACAUCGUUGGCAGGUCUUCCUUGGAUUAUUAACUACAAUGAUAUUCAGGCUCAUGAAAGCCUAUAUGCGCUCAUCAUCUCUACAUAAAGCUGCGUUAAGAGGAAAUAAGAGACUUGGACAAAAAUGUUUAAGUAGAAACUCCUCAGAAGUCAGGUGCUGAUGGCAAGAAAGGUGGUGCUGUUCGUCAAGGUACUCCUUACCCCAAGGGAGGAAAGACCCCUGCAAGUGGAGGCAAGUCAAACAAAUCUCUAAAAUCUACUGGGUCAGUUUCCUGCGAUUCUUGUACCAAGUAAGGGCAUUCGGUACAGUUUGGGCAUUCGGUACAGUUCACAGUCAAGAACUGCAAUAGGUUGUUGGUGUCUACUAGUUUGUUCAGACACUUAUUUUUUGGUGCCCAGGAAGUUUGUUUUCUUACUUGCAAUCAUAUAUUUGUUUCUUUGUUCAUAAUGAAUAGAAUGAUUUUUGGUAAACGUGUAUGUAUGAAUUGUAAAUUGUGGAUAGUUUGCAAAUUGAGAAUGUUCGACAGAUUGAAAAAUACAAAA
Molecule: long non-coding RNA, 2007 nt
Organism: Papaver somniferum (opium poppy)
Lineage: Eukaryota; Viridiplantae; Streptophyta; Magnoliopsida; Ranunculales; Papaveraceae
Exons: 9
Source: RefSeq, a predicted model, not a curated record